GCGGGUGUAGCUCAGUUGGUAGAGCACCAGAUUGUGGCUCUGGUGGUCGUGGGUUCGAACCCCAUCGCUCGCC
This 73-nucleotide transfer RNA is filed under the name Bacteroidetes/Chlorobi group bacterium ChocPot_Mid. RNAcentral's name for it is "tRNA-His". It matches the Rfam family "tRNA". From Rfam's summary of the family: Transfer RNA (tRNA) molecules are approximately 80 nucleotides in length. Lineage: Bacteria; Pseudomonadati. The record is from RNAcentral.